Molecule: ribosomal RNA, 1019 nt
Filed under: marine metagenome
Description: bacterial SSU rRNA
Rfam family: Bacterial small subunit ribosomal RNA
Source: RNAcentral
ACGGGAGGCAGCAGUGGGGAAUCUUGCACAAUGGAGGAAACUCUGAUGCAGCGAUGCCGCGUGAGUGAAGAAGGCCUUUGGGUUGUAAAGCUCUUUCGUCGGGGAAGAAAAUGACUGUACCCGAAUAAGAAGGUCCGGCUAACUUCGUGCCAGCAGCCGCGGUAAUACGAAGGGACCUAGCGUAGUUCGGAAUUACUGGGCUUAAAGAGUUCGUAGGUGGUUGAAAAAGUUGGUGGUGAAAUCCCAGAGCUUAACUCUGGAACUGCCAUCAAAACUUUUCAGCUAGAGUUUGAUAGAGGAAAGCAGAAUUUCUAGUGUAGAGGUGAAAUUCGUAGAUAUUAGAAAGAAUACCAAUUGCGAAGGCAGCUUUCUGGAUCAUUACUGACACUGAGGAACGAAAGCAUGGGUAGCGAAGAGGAUUAGAUACCCUCGUAGUCCAUGCCGUAAACGAUGUGUGUUAGACGUUGGAAAUUUAUUUUCAGUGUCGCAGCGAAAGCGAUAAACACACCGCCUGGGGAGUACGACCGCAAGGUUAAAACUCAAAUGAAUUGACGGGGACCCGCACAAGUAGUGGAGCAUGUGGUUUAAUUCGAAGAUACGCGCAGAACCUUACCAACACUUGACAUGUUCGUCGCGACUUUAAGAGAUUAAAGUUUUCGGUUCGGCCGGACGAAACACAGGUGCUGCAUGGCUGUCGUCAGCUCGUGUCGUGAGAUGUUGGGUUAAGUCCCGCAACGAGCGCAACCCUCACUUUUAGUUGCCAUCAUUAAGUUGGGCACUCUGAAAGAACUGCCAGUGAUAAGCUGGAGGAAGGUGGGGAUGACGUCAAGUCCUCAUGGCCCUUACGUGUUGGGCUACACACGUGCUACAAUGGUAUCUACAACAGGAAGCAAGACGGCGACGUUAAGCAAAUCCUUAAAAGAUACCUCAGUUCGGAUUGCACUCUGCAACUCGAGUGCAUGAAGCUGGAAUUACUAGUAAUCGUGGAUCAGCGUGCCACGGUGAAUGCGUUCCCGGGU